Molecule: ribosomal RNA, 477 nt
Filed under: uncultured bacterium
Lineage: Bacteria
Description: partial 16S ribosomal RNA
Rfam family: Bacterial small subunit ribosomal RNA
Source: RNAcentral
UGAACGCUAGCGGGAGGCCUAACACAUGCAAGCCGAGCGGUAUUUGUUCUUCGGAACAGAGAGAGCGGCGCACGGGUGCGGAACACGUGUGCAACCUGCCUUUAUCUGGGGGAUAGCCUUUCGAAAGGAAGAUUAAUACCCCAUAAUAUAUUGAGUGGCAUCACUUGAUAUUGAAAACUCCGGUGGAUAGAGAUGGGCACGCGCAAGAUUAGAUAGUUGGUGAGGUAACGGCUCACCAAGUCAAUGAUCUUUAGGGGGCCUGAGAGGGUGAUCCCCCACACUGGUACUGAGACACGGACCAGACUCCUACGGGAGGCAGCAGUGAGGAAUAUUGGACAAUGGGUUAGCGCCUGAUCCAGCCAUCCCGCGUGAAGGACGACGGCCCUAUGGGUUGUAAACUUCUUUUGUAUAGGGAUAAACCUACUCUCGUGAGAGUAGCUGAAGGUACUAUACGAAUAAGCACCGGCUAACUCCGUG